RNAcentral lists this ribosomal RNA (486 nucleotides) under uncultured Sphingobacteriales bacterium. Its description in RNAcentral is "bacterial SSU rRNA". It matches the Rfam family "Bacterial small subunit ribosomal RNA", at positions 896 to 1382 of the family's 1533-position model. The record is from RNAcentral. Lineage: Bacteria; Pseudomonadati; Bacteroidota; Sphingobacteriia; Sphingobacteriales.
GAAACUACAAAGGAAUUGACGGGGCCCGCACAAGCGGUGGAGCAUGUGGUUUAAUUCGAUGAUACGCGAGGAACCUUACCUGGGCUCGAACGUAAGAUGACUGUAGGUGAAAGCUUACAUCUCUUCGGAGCAUUUUACGAGGUGCUGCAUGGUUGUCGUCAGCUCGUGCCGUGAGGUGUCGGGUUAAGUCCCAUAACGAGCGCAACCCCUACCUUUAGUUGCCAUCAGGUUAAGCUGGGGACUCUAAAGGAACUGCCUACGCAAGUAGUGAGGAAGGCGGGGAUGACGUCAAAUCAGCACGGCCCUUACGUCCAGGGCUACACACGUGCUACAAUGGCCGAUACAGAGGGCAGCUACCUGGUGACAGGAUGCAAAUCUCCAAAGUCGGUCUCAGUUCGGAUCGGAGUCUGCAACCCGACUCCGUGAAGUUGGAUUCGCUAGUAAUCGCGCAUCAGCCAUGGCGCGGUGAAUACGUUCCCGGGCCUU